Quercus robur (English oak) is the source of this 383-nucleotide long non-coding RNA. RefSeq lists it as uncharacterized. The record is from RefSeq and is a predicted model, not a curated record. The transcript is spliced from 2 exons. NCBI's taxonomy places the organism in Eukaryota, Viridiplantae, Streptophyta, Magnoliopsida, Fagales, Fagaceae.
UUUUAUAUGACAAAGUGGAACUGAGUUCUUACCAAUGCUAAUUUUAUAGUUAAAUGAAUUGCUAUUCUUACCAAUGCUAAUUUUCAUUCCAUGAUCCUUCAUACUUUGCUGCAUGGAAUCUGUACAGGUAAUUCAGGAGGGCCAUUAAUUGAUUCUUAUGGCCAUGUUAUCGGAGUCAAUACUGCAACUUUUACUCGCAAAGGGACAGGAGUAUCAUCAGGUGUUAACUUUGCAAUACCAAUCGACACUGUUGUUCGAACUGUACCUUACCUCAUUGUGUAUGGAACAUCUUAUAAGGACAGGUUUUGAUCAUGUUUGUAAAUAAUAUGAAACAUGUACUUGGUUGGUCUUACAUCAAGCUUCGAAGAGUGGGGUUUUGAUCA